Molecule: ribosomal RNA, 429 nt
Filed under: Pseudomonadota bacterium
Lineage: Bacteria; Pseudomonadati; Pseudomonadota
Description: Proteobacteria bacterium partial 16S ribosomal RNA
Rfam family: Bacterial small subunit ribosomal RNA
Source: RNAcentral
UGGGGAAUAUUGGACAAUGGGCGAAAGCCUGAUCCAGCCAUGCCGCGUGUGUGAAGAAGGUCUUCGGAUUGUAAAGCACUUUAAGUUGGGAGGAAGGGCAGUAAGCGAAUACCUUGCUGUUUUGACGUUACCGACAGAAUAAGCACCGGCUAACUCUGUGCCAGCAGCCGCGGUAAUACAGAGGAUGCAAGCGUUAAUCGGAAUUACUGGGCGUAAAGCGCGCGUAGGUGGUUCGUUAAGUUGAAUGUGAAAGACCCGGGCUCAACCUGGGAACUGCAUCCAAAACUGGCGGGCUAGAGUAGGGCAGAGGGUGGUGGAAUUUCCUGUGUAGCGGUGAAAUGCGUAGAUAUAGGAAGGAACACCAGUGGCGAAGGCGACCACCUGGGCUCAUACUGACGCUGAGGUGCGAAAGCGUGGGGAGCAAACAGG